AUUGAACGCUGGCGGCAGGCCUAACACAUGCAAGUCGAGCGGAUGAAGGGAGCUUGCUCCUGGAUUCAGCGGCGGACGGGUGAGUAAUGCCUAGGAAUCUGCCUGGUAGUGGGGGAUAACGUCCGGAAACGGGCGCUAAUACCGCAUACGUCCUGAGGGAGAAAGUGGGGGAUCUUCGGACCUCACGCUAUCAGAUGAGCCUAGGUCGGAUUAGCUAGUUGGUGGGGUAAAGGCCUACCAAGGCGACGAUCCGUAACUGGUCUGAGAGGAUGAUCAGUCACACUGGAACUGAGACACGGUCCAGACUCCUACGGGAGGCAGCAGUGGGGAAUAUUGGACCAUGGGCGGAAGCCUGAUCCAGCCAUGCCGCGUGUGGGAAGAAGGUCUUCGGAUUGUAAAGCACUUUAAGUUGGGAGGAAGGGCAGUAAGUUAAUACCGUGCUGUUUUGACGGUACCAACAGAAUAAGCACCGGCUAACUUCGUG
Molecule: ribosomal RNA, 484 nt
Filed under: uncultured bacterium
Lineage: Bacteria
Description: partial 16S ribosomal RNA
Rfam family: Bacterial small subunit ribosomal RNA
Source: RNAcentral